ACGCGUUGGGAGCUCUCCCAUAUGGUCGACCUGCAGGCGGCCGCGAAUUCACUAGUGAUUCGUAUUACCGCGGCUGCUGGCACAGAGUUAGCCGGUGCUUAUUCUGUCGGUAACGUCAAAACAGCAAAGUAUUAAUUUACUGCCCUUCCUCCCAACUUAAAGUGCUUUACAAUCCGAAGACCUUCUUCACACACGCGGCAUGGCUGGAUCAGGCUUUCGCCCAUUGUCCAAUAUUCCCCACUGCUGCCUCCCGUAGGAGUCUGGACCGUGUCUCAGUUCCAGUGUGACUGAUCAUCCUCUCAGACCAGUUACGGAUCGUCGCCUUGGUGAGCCAUUACCCCACCAACUAGCUAAUCCGACCUAGGCUCAUCUGAUAGCGCAAGGCCCGAAGGUCCCCUGCUUUCUCCCGUAGGACGUAUGCGGUAUUAGCGUCCGUUUCCGAACGUUAUCCCCCACUACCAGGCAGAUUCCUAGGCAUUACUCACCCGUCCGCCGCUCUCAAGAGAAGCAAGCUUCUCUCUACCGCUCGACUUGCAUGUGUUAGGCCUGCCGCCAGCGUUCAAUCUGAGCCAUGAUCAAACUCUAAUCGAAUUCCCGCGGCCGCCAUGGCGGCCGGGAGCAUG
This 623-nucleotide ribosomal RNA is filed under the name uncultured Gammaproteobacteria bacterium. RNAcentral describes it as "partial 16S ribosomal RNA". The record is from RNAcentral. Lineage: Bacteria; Pseudomonadati; Pseudomonadota; Gammaproteobacteria.